UUUAACAACAACAUUUUCAUCAUUCACACAAUUCAAUCAAAUUUCAUGGGUUUAACAUCAACAUUUUCAUUGUUCACACAAUUCAAUCAAUUUUCAUGGGUUUAACCUCAACAUUAUCAUCAUUCACAUAAUUCAAUCAAAUUUCAUGGGUUUAACAAUGAAUUUUUUUAUCAUUCACACAAUUCAAUCAAAUUGCAUAGGUUUAACAACAACAUUUUCAUCAUUCACAAAAUUAAAUAAACUUUUAUGGGUUUAACCUAAAAUUUUUCAGCAUUCACAUAAUUCAAUUAAAUUUCAUGGGUUUAACAACGACAAGUUCAUCAUUCCCAUAAUUCAAUCCAUUUUUAUGGGUUUAAAAGCAACAUUAUCAUCAUUCACAUAAUUCAAUCGAAUUUCAUGGGUUAACAACAACAUUUUCAUGGGUCCCACAAUUCAAUCAAAUUGCAUGGGUUUAACGGUAACAUUUUCAUCAUUCCCAUAAUUCAAUAAAUUUAGAUGGGUUUUGACAACAACAUUUUAAUCAAUCACAGAGUAAAAUCAAAUUUCAUGGGUUUAACUACAACAUUUUCAUCAUUCACACAAUUCAAUAAAAUUUCAUGGGUUUAACCUACACAUUUUCAUCAUUCACACAAUUCAAUCAAAUUGCAUAGGUUUAACAACAACAUUUUCAUCAUUCACACAAUUCAAUCAAAUUUCAUGGGUUUAACAACAACAUUUUCAUCAUUCACACAAUUCAAUCAAAUUUCAUGGGUUUAACAUCAACAUUUUCAUUGUUCACACAAUUCAAUCAAUUUUCAUGGGUUUAACAUCAACAUUAUCAUCAUUCACAUAAUUCAAUCAAAUUUCAUGGGUUUAACAACGAUUUUUUUAUCAUUCACACAAUUCAAUCAAAUUUCAUAGGUUUAACAACAACAUUUUCAUCAUUCACAAAAUUCAAUAAACUUUAAUGGGUUU
RNAcentral lists this long non-coding RNA (954 nucleotides) under Lathyrus oleraceus (garden pea). Its description in RNAcentral is "Pisum sativum (pea) long non-coding RNA (PSAT_LNC038056)". The record is from RNAcentral. Lineage: Eukaryota; Viridiplantae; Streptophyta; Magnoliopsida; Fabales; Fabaceae.